RNAcentral lists this ribosomal RNA (253 nucleotides) under uncultured bacterium. RNAcentral's name for it is "partial 16S ribosomal RNA". It matches the Rfam family "Bacterial small subunit ribosomal RNA", at positions 524 to 776 of the family's 1533-position model. The record is from RNAcentral.
UACGAAGGGGGCUAGCGUUGUUCGGAAUCACUGGGCGUAAAGGGCGCGUAGGCGGCUUUAUAAGUCGGGGGUGAAAGCCUGUGGCUCAACCCCAGAAUUGCCUUCGAUACUGUAGAGCUUGAGACCGGAAGAGGUAAGUGGAACUGCGAGUGUAGAGGUGAAAUUCGUAGAUAUUCGCAAGAACACCAGUGGCGAAGGCGGCUUACUGGUCCGGAUCUGACGCUGAGGCGCGAAAGCGUGGGGAGCAAACAGG